UCUCCUACGGGAGGCAGCAGUGAGGAAUAUUGGUCAAUGGGCGAAAGCCUGAACCAGCCAAGUCGCGUGAAGGACGACGGUUCUAUGGAUUGUAAACUUCUUUUGUACAGGAUUAAAAGCUUCUACGUGUAGNGAAUGCAGU
This 142-nucleotide ribosomal RNA is filed under the name uncultured Bacteroidales bacterium. RNAcentral's name for it is "partial 16S ribosomal RNA". It matches the Rfam family "Bacterial small subunit ribosomal RNA", at positions 335 to 475 of the family's 1533-position model. Lineage: Bacteria; Pseudomonadati; Bacteroidota; Bacteroidia; Bacteroidales. The record is from RNAcentral.